GAGACACCCUUAUAGGGCAGGACUUGCUUCAGUAGGGCUUUGGUGCUCACUGAGUCUGCCUUCUGAGUGUGUCUCU
Myotis brandtii (Brandt's bat) is the source of this 76-nucleotide non-coding RNA. Lineage: Eukaryota; Metazoa; Chordata; Mammalia; Chiroptera; Vespertilionidae. The record is from Rfam.